GAGGCCUAACACAUGCAAGUCGAGGGGUAUAGUUCUUCGGAACUAGAGACCGGCGCACGGGUGCGUAACGCGUAUGCAAUCUACCUUUCACAGAGGGAUAGCCCAGAGAAAUUUGGAUUAAUACCUCAUAGUAUAGUUUAAUCGCAUGGUUUAACUAUUAAAGUCACAACGGUGAAAGAUGAGCAUGCGUCCCAUUAGCUAGUUGGUAAGGUAACGGCUUACCAAGGCUACGAUGGGUAGGGGUCCUGAGAGGGAGAUCCCCCACACUGGUACUGAGACACGGACCAGACUCCUACGGGAGGCAGCAGUGAGGAAUAUUGGUCAAUGGACGCAAGUCUGAACCAGCCAUGCCGCGUGCAGGAUGACGGUCCUAUGGAUUGUAAACUGCUUUUGUACGAGAAGAAACACUAGUUCGUGAACUAGCUUGACGGUAUCGUAAGAAUAAGGAUCGGCUAACUCCGUGCCAGCAGCCGCGGUAAUACGGAGGAUCCAAGCGUUAUCCGGAAUCAUUGGGUUUAAAGGGUCCGUAGGCGGUUUAGUAAGUCAGUGGUGAAAGCCCAUCGCUCAACGGUGGAACGGCCAUUGAUACUGCUAAACUUGAAUUAUUAGGAAGUAACUAGAAUAUGUAGUGUAGCGGUGAAAUGCUUAGA
RNAcentral lists this ribosomal RNA (650 nucleotides) under uncultured bacterium. RNAcentral describes it as "bacterial SSU rRNA". It matches the Rfam family "Bacterial small subunit ribosomal RNA", at positions 43 to 694 of the family's 1533-position model. The record is from RNAcentral.